AGCAGCCGCGGUAAUUCCAGCUCCAAUAGCGUAUAUUAAAGUUGUUGCAGUUAAAAAGCUCGUAGUUGAAUUUCGGGAUUGACACAUCGGUCGUGCCUUAAGGGGUAUGAACUGGUGUAGUCAAUUUCUCACCUUCUGGAGAACCGCGAUGUCCUUAAUUGGGUGCCGCGAGGAACCAGGACCUUUACUUUGAAAAAUUAGAGUGUUUAAAGCAGGCAUUUUUGCUUGAAUACAUUAGCAUGGAAUAAUAAAAUAGGACGGCAUGAUUCUAUUUUGUUGGUUUCUAGGAUCACCGUAAUGAUUAAUAGGGAUAGUUGGGGGCAUUAGUAUUCAAUUGUCAGAGGUGAAAUUCUUGGAUUUAUUGAAGACUAACUACUGCGAAAGCAUUUGCCAAGGAUGUUUUCAUUAAUCAAGAACGAAAGUUAGGGGAUCGAAGACGAUCAGAUACCGUCGUAGUCUUAACCAUAAACUAUGCCGACUAGGAAUCAGACGAUGUUAAUUUUUAA
Molecule: ribosomal RNA, 506 nt
Filed under: uncultured Entrophospora
Lineage: Eukaryota; Fungi; Glomeromycota; Glomeromycetes; Entrophosporales; Entrophosporaceae
Description: SSU rRNA
Rfam family: Eukaryotic small subunit ribosomal RNA
Source: RNAcentral